This 26-nucleotide non-coding RNA is filed under the name Mus musculus (house mouse). The record is from RNAcentral. Lineage: Eukaryota; Metazoa; Chordata; Mammalia; Rodentia; Muridae.
UGGUUAUCACAUUUGGGUAUGAAAUA